RNAcentral lists this ribosomal RNA (468 nucleotides) under uncultured bacterium. RNAcentral's name for it is "partial 16S ribosomal RNA". It matches the Rfam family "Bacterial small subunit ribosomal RNA", at positions 28 to 507 of the family's 1533-position model. The record is from RNAcentral.
GACGAACGCUGGCGGCGUGCUUAACACAUGCAAGUCGAACGGUAAGGCCCUGCUUUUGUGGGCAGCUCGAGUGGCGAACGGGUGAGUAACACGUGAGUAACCUGUCACUGACUUUGGUAUAACUUCAGGAAACUGGGGCUAAUACCGCAUAGGAGCUCCUGCUGCAUGGUGGGGGUUGGUAAGUUUCGGCGGUUGGGGAUGGACUCGCGGCUCAUCAGCUUGUUGGUGGGGUAGUGGGUUACCAAGGCUUUGACGGGUAGCCUGCCUGAGAGGGUGACCGGCCACAUUGGGACUGAGAUAAGGCCCAGACUCCUACGGGAGGCAGCAGUGGGGAAUAUAGCACAAUGGGCGGAGGCCUGGUGCAGCAACGCCGCGUGCGGGAUGACGGCCUUCGGGUUGUAAACCGCUUUCGCCUGUGACGAAGCGUGAGUGACGGUAAUGGGUAAAGAAGCACCGGCUAACUACGUG